This 263-nucleotide ribosomal RNA is filed under the name uncultured Longilinea sp. Its description in RNAcentral is "partial 16S ribosomal RNA". It matches the Rfam family "Bacterial small subunit ribosomal RNA", at positions 1105 to 1378 of the family's 1533-position model. The record is from RNAcentral. Lineage: Bacteria; Bacillati; Chloroflexota; Anaerolineae; Anaerolineales; Anaerolineaceae.
UCGUCGUGUGUUACAAGUGUCACACGAGACCGCCGGUUUUAAGCCGGAGAAAGGUGAGGAUGAAGUCAAGUCAGCAUGGCCUUUAUAUCCUGGGCUACACACACGCUACAAUGGCUGGUACAAUUGGUCGCGAAACCGCGAGGUGGAGCCAAUCCUAAAAGCCAGCCUCAGUUCAGAUUGUAGGCUGCAACUCGCCUGCAUGAAGAUGGAGUUGCUAGUAAACGCAGGUCAGCAUUACUGCGUUGAAUACGUUCCCGGGGAUU